CUCAAAGGAAUUGACGGGGACCCGCACAAGCGGUGGAGUAUGUGGCUUAAUUCGAUGCAACGCGAAGAACCUUACCUGGGCUUGACAUGCCUCUCUAAGCGCGUGAAAGCGCGUGACCCUUCGGGGGAUUGGCACAGGUGCUGCAUGGCCGUCGUCAGCUCGUGUCGUGAGAUGUUGGGUUAAGUCCCGCAACGAGCGCAACCCUUGUGAACAGUUGCCAGCGCGUCAUGGCGGGAACUCUGUUCAGACUGCCCAGAUCAACUGGGAGGAAGGUGGGGACGACGUCAGGUCAGUAUGGCCCUUACGCCCAGGGCUGCACACGUACUACAAUGCCCAGUACAAUGAGAACCGAUGCCGCGAGGUGGAGGAAAUCUGUAAAACUGGGCCCAGUUCGGAUUGGAGGCUGCAACUCGCCUCCAUGAAGUUGGAAUCGCUAGUAAUGGCGCAUCAUCUACGGCGCCGUGAAUACGUUCCCGGGUCUUGUACACACCGCCCGUCACAUCAUGGAAGCCGGUUUCACCCGAAGUGCCCGCGUCAACCGC
RNAcentral lists this ribosomal RNA (542 nucleotides) under uncultured Verrucomicrobium sp. RNAcentral's name for it is "bacterial SSU rRNA". It matches the Rfam family "Bacterial small subunit ribosomal RNA", at positions 900 to 1442 of the family's 1533-position model. Lineage: Bacteria; Pseudomonadati; Verrucomicrobiota; Verrucomicrobiia; Verrucomicrobiales; Verrucomicrobiaceae. The record is from RNAcentral.